Molecule: ribosomal RNA, 424 nt
Filed under: uncultured bacterium
Lineage: Bacteria
Description: partial 16S ribosomal RNA
Rfam family: Bacterial small subunit ribosomal RNA
Source: RNAcentral
GUGGGGAAUCUUGCGCAAUGGGCGAAAGCCUGACGCAGCCAUGCCGCGUGAAUGAUGAAGGUCUUAGGAUUGUAAAAUUCUUUCACCGGGGACGAUAAUGACGGUACCCGGAGAAGAAGCCCCGGCUAACUUCGUGCCAGCAGCCGCGGUAAUACGAAGGGGGCUAGCGUUGCUCGGAAUUACUGGGCGUAAAGGGCGCGUAGGCGGACAGUUUAGUCAGAGGUGAAAGCCCAGGGCUCAACCUUGGAAUUGCCUUUGAUACUGGCUGUCUUGAGUACGGGAGAGGUGAGUGGAACUCCGAGUGUAGAGGUGAAAUUCGUAGAUAUUCGGAAGAACACCAGUGGCGAAGGCGACUCACUGGCCCGUUACUGACGCUGAGGCGCGAAAGCGUGGGAGCAAACAGGAUUAGAUACCCUAGUAGUCC